This 3823-nucleotide unclassified non-coding RNA is filed under the name Leishmania donovani. Its description in RNAcentral is "gene:unknown". Lineage: Eukaryota; Euglenozoa; Kinetoplastea; Trypanosomatida; Trypanosomatidae. The record is from RNAcentral.
UCAUCAGUCUCCAUAUUUUGCUGGUCUACAAAAUGGGCUCGCGCACUUCACGCACGCACUCCAGUGACGGCAUCGAUCCAGUUGGUGCGCCUGCGAACGCCGCGCCCCUGCUCUGCUGCUCAACGGCGUCUGACGUGGCAGGCAAGCGCCGUGAGCAGGAUGAACUUACGGACCUACGGAGAUUAACGCAGCGCAGUCGACAUCGAGCAGACGAAAAGAAUCGAUUGCCAUCUCCGCACGCUACCAGGCGUGUUCAACAAAGCCGUGGCAAGCCCUACAGCGAUGCACGUAAGCGCCAGCUAACCCGAUGCGAAGCUGCGAGGGAAUGCCAGUGUGACCAUGCCGUAGCGGCACUGCACCAGUCAGGCUUGAGGCAACCCCGAAAAGAUGCCUCCGAAGUCUCGGUACUUUCUGUGCACACGGUGACGCACCAGCCCAUCCGUCUGGAUCAUAAACAAAGAUCGAGGCCAGGCACAAGGGCACAGCGGCCCCGCCAGUGUUGGACCGACAGCCCUUACACGGGCCAGGGCAGCGGCUGUACUCCACGCGCCUCCACUGGCUACUUUCCGCUCCUAGCCAUCGACGUUCCACACGCUUCACAUGACAGUGGCGGCGGGGACGGAUUCUCCAUCGUGUAGCCCGCAACGGGUCACAGCCAAACCGGCUUCCUACCCGCGCCGCUCGUUGGCGCCGCGGUCACACCUCUUACAACAUGCGGCACGGCCGAGUCUCCCGUGAGUCAAGCUUUUGUGUGUUUUGGCCCGCCCCAGUGUGCGGCCAUCUCGCUGCCUAAGCCGCCUUGAUCAUCUUCAGGUUUUUAAACCCUCGCCAGCAAAGCUUAGGCCGCAGGGCUGUUUUGCCCGUGCGCCGCCGUUUCCCAGCUUGCCGCGCUGCCCCGUCACGCCUACAAAAGAAAAACGAAACUGAGCGCCAGCGUGCGCACGCGCAUCGGCCCUCUCCUCGGCUAUCGAGUGAUUGGCUGGGCCGCCUGAUUUUCCAAGCGGGGUGCUCGCCGCCGCUGGCAUCGAAAUCCAACCGGCCGAGACCCCCCCCGAAAAGCGCACCCCCUUUUAUCCCCAAGGACAGCUUUCCCGGCGCUCCCAACCCCCAGCCCUCACGCAGUCGAAAACCCCCCCUCCCCCGCCGCCACCGGCGGGCCCGCCAACCCCCCCCUCCGCGGGACGCCUAGGGGGGCCCCGCGCCAGAAGGGGUGGGCCACCCGCAGCAACACCUUCCAGCGGGGGCACGGGGGACACGCCGCACCCUUUUUUGCACCGCCGCCCACGCGAUGACAGCCGGGGCUUUUUUUCGCCGCGGACCAAACCCACAGCAAAAGACAGGUAUUCACGCCAGAGAGCACCCUUGCCCGUUGCAAAACUCACACUCAAGAACAAAAGCGACGCUUAUUGUCGCGGAAAGCAGCCUUUUCUACCUGCCGGCCUGAUUCUUUGACCGCCAGCUUCAUUGGAUGCCGGUCAGUCAUCACCACAUGUCCGCUCCGCCGAUUUCCCGCCAUACGGGUACGCACGUUACCACGAGGCCUAACGCUACUCUGUGUGCAACCUCAGCUGGAAACAUUUGUCUCGCAGCUCUGUUUCUUUUCUUUUUAGAACUAGGGUGUCAGUCCUUGUGCCUACAUCUGAUCUCGUAUAAGUGACUGCCGUCACGCCAUCAGCGAAUAUUAUUCUCGCCCUUGGACAAACUACGAGUCAAUUAGUCACCCUGCUUGUGGCCGCUUGUCGCAGCCAAGUGCACUCUCCUCUAGACUACAGUACGAGCCUUCUACAGUCACUCGAUGAUCAAAAAGACAUGCCAUGUAAGUGGUGAUGCUUGCAUUUCUUUCUGCCAUGUCAGUGAAAGCGGCUCCUUUACAACACGAACUGUCACAAAAACUCUUCGAUAAGUCAGUCCCUUUCGCAUAAUUCUUAGAGAUGUCCUCCCCGAUGAGGGACAGCACCUCACCGCGUGGUAUCAUAAGGGCUAGUAGCAGCUUUCUAGGGGAAGCCGAGCAGCCUCCUCCCCCCUCCCUCCCUAUCCCAGCCACUGCCGAACCACCCCUGGUGGUGACAGGGCCAGGGUGCCUAGGACGUGGGGAGGUCAGUGCGAUGCAGUGGCACGGAUGCCGGCGGCCAAUCCCUGGACGGCGUGGCGCCGGUGCGACCCGCGACCGUGAGCGUGCUUGCGCCAUCCAUGCGAUGGGCAAGGCGUCAGCGUGAUACCAACGCGUCUCGCUCGGCCCUCGCACUGCCUGCUGCUGGGGAGGCUGAGUGCCACCCUGCGAGGCGGGUGGGUGGGUAGAGUUUGGGUCAGGGGCCGUGCACAGAUGACUGUGUCGGCGCACUGCUGUGAUGCGUGUCUGCGGCUGCGUUGCACCGCGCGCUGGGUGCCUGUGGCAGACCCGGAAGAGUGGAGCUUAGCGCAUGUUGUAUGGCAUAGAAUAUAGACGUUGAGCAAGGAACGCGCAAAGAGACAUCUUCGUUUCUUUUUUUAGUGUGUCGCGCGACCUCCGGCGCCUCUGAUGGGUCAGCAUCAUGCUUUUAGCUGUUUUGGUUUCCAAGGUGUACUGUGUUCGCAGUUUCUUUUGUUUUUCACGCCCAUAAUCUCACGUGUUAUAUUGUCUUUGAGGCCUUUUGGUUUUUGGUCUUUGACUAUAGCAAGCUUUCCGCUUGUGCUGUAGGUUUUUUCAAGGUGUGCCCUUGAACUUCAGUGGCAUCAAGGCAGGGAGGAGUUUCAGGGGACAUGAAGGAGAAAAAGAUGAGGAUUUGCGAAGCAGGGAGGAAAGUGUAAGCACUACAAUCAGUCUUCCAUCUCCGAAGCCGUGCUUCGGAGAGCUGCACAGCCAAAAUUACUACUUUUUCCCUGUAGCCGUCGCGCUUCCUCGGAUGCUCCCUGCAUACUUAUUGCACGAAACUGUUUUUUUUUUUACCUCUGUUGCUCGAGUGCCUGUGCGAGUAUAGAUGCCCUAACCCGAAGUGCCUCAGCUUCGAUAACCGCAUUUGGUUUCUGAAUAUCUCUGCUAAUGCACAGGCUGAUCUUUUUCGACUCCGAUAUAUAUAUAUAUAUAUAUAUAUAUAUAUAUAUAUAUUAGUAGAAAUGGUCGCUGUGUGGCGAUAAAGGCCGUUAGCCGGCCGUUACUGAUUUUUUUCAAAGUGACUUUUGCUUGUGAGACGUUCAAGACAUCCUUUUUCACAUCCUCCGUCAGUUUUAUUGCCUUUGUGGAAUGCGUACGUGAGCUCUUCAUCAUGAGCCAACGUGUUUGCGCCUUCCUUCGUCACUUCUUUCAGCUUUUUCUUCGCUUCUUUUUUUUUUGCUAGCGAUUGGCUGCGCGUGGCAGAACAGUGAAAGUUCGUUGUAGCAGCUUUGUUGUUCAGCAGAAGGGCGGAGGCCGACAGUGCAUCCAGCGUCAAGAAGCUCCUUGUUUAUUUUUUUUCCGUAUUCAACAAGAAAGACUGAUUCAUCCACUUUUUUUCUUCCGCCCCACCAUAGAGGAAGCAGAGAAAGGCCACCGAAAUGCGUUGACUCCUGCGACAGCUGUUUGGUGUGCUGAAACGAGCCUCUGGAAUUCAUUGAUUAACAAGUCUUGUUUUCCUGUUUUAGAAAACGCGGUAAAAGGCGGCUGCUGCGAACCUUUCUCUUUUGCGCCAUACCUUGUGGGGAAAAUGUAGCCACUAGAGUCGUGUGCGCGCAGACAAGCGGAAUCCAGUUGCGGGGCCUAACUGAUUUUUUUUUUGCGCGCUUCAAACGCCACCCAUUCAGCAAACUGCAUUACAUCUCCCGUUCAUUUCGAGCCUCUACGCUCUCGGUAUCAGCUCCGCGUCGUCGU